GAAUAGCUCAGUUGGUAGGGCACAAGACUCUUAAUCUCGAGGUUAUGUGUUUGAGCCCCACAUGGGGCA
Molecule: non-coding RNA, 69 nt
Organism: Podarcis lilfordi (Lilford's wall lizard)
Lineage: Eukaryota; Metazoa; Chordata; Lepidosauria; Squamata; Lacertidae
Source: the annotation of a GenBank genome assembly